UGCUCAUCUAUAUUGUCUUUUCCACAAAUAUGUACAAUUUGGAAUUCUUCUAAUAAUUGAUCAAGACCUUCACGAAUGGCCUGGUUAAUCUUUUGCGAGCCUGCACUUCCACCCAUUAUAAGUAACACGUUUUUUGAACCACUAAAACCUGUUAAUUGAAAUCC
Molecule: non-coding RNA, 164 nt
Filed under: Gracilibacillus massiliensis
Lineage: Bacteria; Bacillati; Bacillota; Bacilli; Caryophanales; Bacillaceae
Description: Staphylococcus sRNA 414
Rfam family: Staphylococcus sRNA 414
About the family: Antisense of an annotated CDS (SAOUHSC_1422) but was considered an trans-encoded sRNA rather than a typical antisense RNA. Target prediction revealed enrichment of iron-coding genes and genes with function in cofator metabolism.
Source: RNAcentral